UCCUUGUUAGAAUACACAAAGCC
RNAcentral lists this small nuclear RNA (23 nucleotides) under Arabidopsis thaliana (thale cress). Its description in RNAcentral is "snRNA_18049". Lineage: Eukaryota; Viridiplantae; Streptophyta; Magnoliopsida; Brassicales; Brassicaceae. The record is from RNAcentral.